CAAUCUCCUGGAUGUCGUCAAUCUCCCACCUGCUAAGAUGUCCCUCUCUUCCUAGUUGGGCUCUGACUCCCUGUGCUAGGCCAUUCCUCUGCAGGAAAGCCCUCCUCACUCUGCUUGCACUCUGAUUCCUGAUGCUGGUCCCCUAGUCACCACUUAGACCCCCUUAGGUUCUAAUGCUCCACACAAGGUCACCCUAUGGGUGGAAGCCCUCCUCACCCUGGAGGGGUCUGAUUUCCUCACCGGGCUAUCCUACCACAUGGACCACCUCCUUAUCCUGCUAAGUUUCUGAAACCCACACCAAGUCCUCCCUCUGCAUAGAAGCUUUCUUCAUCCUGCUUGGGCUCUGACACUCCAUGCAGGUCCUCCAUCCCCCAGCAAUAAUGUCCAUCUUACCCUACUUAGGAUCUGAGUUCCCUCACUGGGCUACCCCACCACAUGGACACCCUCCUUAUCAUGCUUGGUCUCUGAAACCACACCAGGUCUACCCUCUGCAAGGAUGCUCUCUCUCCUCAUCCUGCUUAAGUGCUGAGUCCCAACCCCAACUGGGCCAACACUAGGCAUGGGUGCCCUCCUCACCUCUCCCACAUGCUGACAUACAUACCAGGCUGGCCCUAGAGUACUCUGCUCAGCCAUUUGCGACUCUGACUCCCUAUAGAAGGUAACCUCAUACAUGGAUGCCCUCCUCACCCUGCUUGCACUCCAACUCACUGCACCUGACUAUCCCACCACAUAGAUGCCUUCUUUACCUCUCAGACUCUGACCUCUCACAUCAGGCUACCCCUACUAUGGACACCCUCCUCAAUCUUAUCCUCUGACACCCUGCACUGGGCCAUUGCCAGGAGUGGACAUCUCCUCGCUCUGGUUCCCCAUGCCAGGACACUUUCCCACCCCUAAGGGAUGUUCUUCUCACUCUGCUUGGGCUCCAGAACCACUGUCAAGCCAAUACCCUG
This 950-nucleotide long non-coding RNA is filed under the name Homo sapiens (human). RNAcentral describes it as "HSALNT0185147". Lineage: Eukaryota; Metazoa; Chordata; Mammalia; Primates; Hominidae. The record is from RNAcentral.